ACAACUUAGAUGAACACAGUGUUAUUAUGAGUGACACGUCACUGCCAUUUUAUCGAAAAAAAUGACACUUCUCGUGGAUUUUUUUCAUUGCCGUUUUCGAAUGUGUAAAGCAGUCACGUAAAAUGGAGAAGAAAAAGACGAAUAAGCGACAAUUUGCCUGCCUCGUAGCCUUCAUGGAGAAGAAUCCCGAAGUAGCCAGAGGAAGUUUGGACCGACAAAAAGCUGCAACUAAAACGAAAGUUACAGCAUAACAAAAAUGAGUUGACGGCCACUGGUGGUGGGCCAAACACUUUACAUUCGUUCAACGACCUGGAAGAAUCUAUCAUUCGUCUCCUUUCAUUAGAAAGAGCGGUGAACCACGAAGGAUCUGUUUUUGGAAUGCAACUACCACCUAGUGCACCUGCUGAUGAGCGCCAAGUAUGUGUGCCUUGCGAAGAAGACCCAAACGAGGAACCGAAUGUCCCGGGCGAUGAGUCUACGCAUGAUAAUACAACACAUGAUGAUGCAACUAGGAAGGGUCAACCAGCAACGCGCGGUCGUGGACAUUCGUAAGUAAACGGAAUUAUCGAAAAGCUCUGCUUGAAAAGCAGACUGAUGAUCUCAGUAAAAUAAAGCGACAUGUAUCAGACUGCGCGCGAUAUUCGCGUAAGUCCUACGAUUUGCAUGGAAUGCGAUUUAAGUUGGAGAAGAAGCGGUUGCAGCUGGACGAGGAGAAAUUUAUUUUCAAGAAGCAGAUGUUACUGGAGAACAGGCAUUGCAUUUAUCGCUCAUAUGAGUAAAUGCGCCCGGAUAGCUUGCUACUGCGACAAUAAAAACUCACAUUUUCACACGAAAAGUUAUUGGCACUCACACAACUUCUCCGGAUAAAUACAACAUGUUAUUUCUCCGGAUAAAUAAAACAGCCAGAGAAUGAGUUUGUCAUGGUAUUCUUCAUUCGCUCGCUGCUUUCCUGUCGUUAUUCCAAAACACGAGAAAACAAGUCUAUCAUAUUUCUUCGCCGCUUUUCUUUGUAAUUAAGUGUAUUUUUUUGAAGUUUUAAUUGAUUUCCACAAAAUUAAAAUUUUAUCACCUUCUCCGGUGAGAAGGAAAAAGUCAAAUAAAUUUUAUCCGGAAAAUCAUUCUCACGCUAUUUGUGGAGACGGAGAAUUUAGCGACUCAUCUUAUCUCGGAAAAGUUGGACCUCGGAUAAGCUUCUUCUCGCGUGAGUGAGAGAGAAUUACAAUGCCUGCUGGAGCAGCAAAAGUAUAAAAGCCAGCAGCUACAAUACCAGUUGCAACUGGUUCAAUACAAAAGCAGAAGCUCGAUUUUGAAAUGGGGCUGUGACGACCCCUUGGUCAGCGCGACUCACUGUAAGGAACAAUGCGCUGUUCGUAGCAACACGUCAUGCCGAGAGGUAAAUGACGUACUAACAAACUGUCACUACGAAUGAUGACUGGCGCAAUUUUCGGAAACCAUGAGUAAUCUACUUGGCGACGAAGACGAAUAGUGCAUUAGUUGUUUUCCGCUAGAAUUAUACGGUUCAUUAAUUGUGAAGUUUCUUCAGCAGCAGAAAUUGGCUUUCGGACGGAUGUGCAUUGAGUAAUGUUGAGAGGUUAAGAUUUGGAAGAAAGGAAGAACUAAGAUAGUAAAGAAGGAAGAAGAAAACAGAAAUAGACUAAACGAUUUUUUUAACGUGCAAUAAUAUACGUUACUGAAUUGGAAACCCGUUUCUUCUUCUACUCCGUUUCGUUGACCGGCGCGUCAACAAUUUAAAAAAAUUAAAGGGUUGUGUACAGGACACGACCACGGUGACAUUAAAAAUAUAGCUUUUUUAUCUAUCACACAUAUCGACACACGUUCUUGUUCACUCGCCUGUUUUCAUAUGUUACAAUUUGCUAUAUACCCUCCCCAUUAAAACAUAAUUUAUUGAAGGUCUUUUAACGGUAAUCUAUUAAUUAAUCAAGUAUCUCACUAGGUGAUUGGCAUUAUUUGGCUGAUCCAUCUAGUAAAAAUAGGCUGGUCUGUCCAGAAAAUAUAUUCAAAA
Long non-coding RNA from Topomyia yanbarensis, 2023 nucleotides. RefSeq lists it as uncharacterized. NCBI's taxonomy places the organism in Eukaryota, Metazoa, Arthropoda, Insecta, Diptera, Culicidae. The transcript is spliced from 6 exons. The record is from RefSeq and is a predicted model, not a curated record.